GAUGAACGCUGGCGGCGUGCUUAACACAUGCAAGUCGAACGAACCUUUUCGGAGGUGAGUGGCGGACGGGUGAGUAACGCGUGAGGAUCUGCCUACAGGACAGGGACAACAGCGGGAAACUGCUGCUAAAACCUGAUGUGCCGAGAGGUGAAAUAUUAAUAGCCUGUAGAUGAGCUCGCGUCUGAUUAGCUAGUUGGUGGGGUAAGGGCCUACCAAGGCGACGAUCAGUAGCUGGUCUGAGAGGACGAUCAGCCACACUGGGACUGAGACACGGCCCAGACUCCUACGGGAGGCAGCAGUGGGGAAUUUUCCGCAAUGGGCGAGAGCCUGACGGAGCAACGCCGCGUGAGGGAGGAAGGCCUGUGGGUUGUAGACCUCUUUUCUCAAGGAAGAUAAUGACGGUACUUGAGGAAUAAGCAUCGGCUAACUCUGUGCCAGCAGCCGCGGUAAU
This 451-nucleotide ribosomal RNA is filed under the name uncultured cyanobacterium. RNAcentral's name for it is "bacterial SSU rRNA". It matches the Rfam family "Bacterial small subunit ribosomal RNA", at positions 28 to 524 of the family's 1533-position model. Lineage: Bacteria; Bacillati; Cyanobacteriota. The record is from RNAcentral.